GACGAACGCUGGCGGCGUGCUUAACACAUGCAAGUCGAACGGAAAGGCCUGCUUUCCCUUGUGGAUUGCGGGUACUCGAGUGGCGAACGGGUGAGUAACACGUGAGUGAUCUGCCCCCAACUUGGGUAUAAGCCUGGAAAACUGGGUCUAAUUCCCGAUAGGACUGCAGGGUGGUGCCUGUGGUGGAAAACGAUUUUCUAGUGGUUGGGGAUGAGCUCGCGGCCUAUCAGCUUGUUGGUGGGGUAAUGGCCUACCAAGGCGGCGACGGGUAGCCGGCCUGAGAGGGUGGACGGCCACAUUGGGACUGAGAUACGGCCCAGACUCCUACGGGAGGCAGCAGUGGGGAAUAUUACACAAUGGGCGGAAGCCUGAUGCAGCGACGCCGCGUGGGGGAUGACGGCCUUCGGGUUGUAAACUCCUUUCGACCGCGAGGAAGCCACCUGGUUGGAAGGGUGGUGACGGUAGUGGUAGAAGAAGCACCGGCUAACUACGUG
Molecule: ribosomal RNA, 494 nt
Filed under: uncultured bacterium
Lineage: Bacteria
Description: partial 16S ribosomal RNA
Rfam family: Bacterial small subunit ribosomal RNA
Source: RNAcentral